Molecule: ribosomal RNA, 254 nt
Filed under: uncultured bacterium
Lineage: Bacteria
Description: partial 16S ribosomal RNA
Rfam family: Bacterial small subunit ribosomal RNA
Source: RNAcentral
UACGUAGGGUGCGAGCGUUGUCCGGAAUUAUUGGGCGUAAAGAGCUCGUAGGCGGUCUGUCGCGUCUGCUGUGAAAUCCCGAGGCUCAACCUCGGGCUUGCAGUGGGUACGGGCAGGCUAGAGUGCGGUAGGGGAGAAUGGAACUCCUGGUGUAGCGGUGGAAUGCGCAGAUAUCAGGGAGGAACACCAAUAGCGAAGGCAGCUCGCUGGGACGUACUGACACUGAGGCGCGAAAGCGUGGGGGAGCGAACAGG